Molecule: ribosomal RNA, 272 nt
Filed under: uncultured Ascomycota
Lineage: Eukaryota; Fungi; Ascomycota
Description: partial 18S ribosomal RNA
Rfam family: Eukaryotic small subunit ribosomal RNA
Source: RNAcentral
UUGGAGGGCAAGUCUGGUGCCAGCAGCCGCGGUAAUCCCAGCUCCAAUAGCGUAUAUUAAAGUUGUUGAGGUUAAAAAGCUCGUAGUUGAACCUUGGGCCUAGCCGGCCGGUCCGCCUCACCGCGUGCACUGGCUCGGCUGGGUCUUUCCUUCUGGAGAACCGCAUGCCCUUCACUGGGUGUGCCGGGGAACCAGGACUUUUACUCUGAACAAAUUAGAUCGCUUAAAGAAGGCCUAUGCUCGAAUACAUUAGCAUGGAAUAAUAGAAUAGG